RNAcentral lists this ribosomal RNA (494 nucleotides) under uncultured bacterium. Its description in RNAcentral is "bacterial SSU rRNA". It matches the Rfam family "Bacterial small subunit ribosomal RNA", at positions 28 to 521 of the family's 1533-position model. The record is from RNAcentral.
GAUGAACGCUGGCGGCGUGCCUAACACAUGCAAGUCGAACGGAACUUCUUCGACAGAAUUCUUCGGAAGGAAGUUGAUUAAGUUUAGUGGCGGACGGGUGAGUAACGCGUGAGUAACCUGCCUUUGAGAGGGGAAUAACUUCCCGAAAGGGAUGCUAAUACCGCAUGAUGCAUAGAAGUCGCAUGGCUUUUAUGCCAAAGAUUUAUCGCUCAAAGAUGGACUCGCGUCCGAUUAGCCAGUUGGCGGGGUAACGGCCCACCAAAGCGACGAUCGGUAGCCGGACUGAGAGGGUGACCGGCCACAUUGGGACUGAGACACGGCCCAAACUCCUACGGGAGGCAGCAGUGGGGAAUAUUGCACAAUGGGGGAAACCCUGAUGCAGCGACGCCGCGUGAGCGAAGAAGUAUUCGGUAUGUAAAGCUCUAUCAGCAGGGAAGAAAAAAUGACGGUACCUGACUAAGAAGCCCGGCUAACUACGUGCCAGCAGCCGCGGU